GGCCCUGUCGUCUAGUCCGGUCCAGGACAUCAGGUUUUCAUCCUGAAAACACGGGUUCGAAUCCCGUCGGGGCUA
Molecule: transfer RNA, 75 nt
Filed under: Candidatus Wolfebacteria bacterium CG18_big_fil_WC_8_21_14_2_50_39_7
Lineage: Bacteria; Candidatus Wolfeibacteriota
Also listed under: 1 other name
Description: tRNA-Glu
Rfam family: tRNA
About the family: Transfer RNA (tRNA) molecules are approximately 80 nucleotides in length. Their secondary structure includes four short double-helical elements and three loops (D, anti-codon, and T loops).
Source: RNAcentral